RNAcentral lists this ribosomal RNA (284 nucleotides) under uncultured Peptoniphilus sp. RNAcentral describes it as "partial 16S ribosomal RNA". It matches the Rfam family "Bacterial small subunit ribosomal RNA", at positions 82 to 355 of the family's 1533-position model. Lineage: Bacteria; Bacillati; Bacillota; Tissierellia; Tissierellales; Peptoniphilaceae. The record is from RNAcentral.
GGGUGAAGAUAAGACGGAUUAGCGGCGGACGGGUGAGUAACACGUGAGUAACCUGCCUUUUACACAGGGAUAGCCUCGGGAAACCGGGAUUAAAACCUGAUGAAACUAUCAAAUCACAUGAUUAAGAAAGUUAAAACUCCGGUGGUAAAAGAUGGACUCGCGUCCCAUUAGCUAGUUGGUGAAGGUAACGGCCCACCAAGGCAACGAUGGGUAGCCGGCCUGAGAGGGUGAACGGCCACAUUGGAACUGAGAAACGGUCCAAACUCCUACGGGAGGCAGCAGUC